Molecule: unclassified non-coding RNA, 295 nt
Filed under: uncultured Glomeromycetes
Lineage: Eukaryota; Fungi; Glomeromycota; Glomeromycetes
Description: sequence contains ITS2
Source: RNAcentral
AACGCAAAUUGCACUCUCUGGUAACCCGGGGAGUAUGCCUGUUUGAGGGUCAGUGUUAAUAAAAAAUCGGUGCGUUGCAAUUUUUGUGAUGUUCCGGAGUUUGAGUUAUCUUAUCUUCUGGGUUUAAGAGGCUUAAAAUUGACCUUCUUUGUGCAUUUUAGACGUACAUAAAUUUUUUUUUAUUCGUUUAUCUUAAUGCCAAAAUCUAUUAGAUGCGACCAUAUCGUGUGGUUCCGUGUCUAUAAAUUUUUCAUGAUUUGACCUCAAAUCAGGUAGGAACACCCGCUGAACUUAA